CUACGUGCCAGCAGCCGCGGUAAUACGUAGGGUGCGAGCGUUAAUCGGAAUUACUGGGCGUAAAGCGAGCGCAGACGGUUACUUAAGCAGGAUGUGAAAUCCCCGGGCUCAACCUGGGAACUGCGUUCUGAACUGGGUGACUAGAGUGUGUCAGAGGGAGGUAGAAUUCCACGUGUAGCAGUGAAAUGCGUAGAGAUGUGGAGGAAUACCGAUGGCGAAGGCAGCCUCCUGGGAUAACACUGACGUUCAUGCUCGAAAGCGUGGGUAGCAAACAGGAUUAGAUACCCUGGUAGUCCACGCUGUAAACGAUGUCGACUUGGAGGUUGUGCCCUUGAGGCGUGGCUUCCGGAGCUAACGCGUUAAAUCGACCGCCUGGGGAGUACGGCCGCAAGGUUAAAACUCAAAUGAAUUGACGGGGGCCCGCACAAGCGGUGGAGCAUGUGGUUUAAUUCGAUGCAACGCGAAGAACCUUACCUACUCUUGACAUCCAGAGAACAUUC
Molecule: ribosomal RNA, 500 nt
Filed under: uncultured bacterium
Lineage: Bacteria
Description: bacterial SSU rRNA
Rfam family: Bacterial small subunit ribosomal RNA
Source: RNAcentral